UGUGAGAGUGAUGAGUUGCACUAAUCAGUUGGGGUGUUUGCUGCAGUGGCAUCAGCAUCCCAAUCCGAUCCGAUAUGAGGAGACAAAAUGUGCGCUGGGGCCAUCUGACUACACC
This is a small nucleolar RNA of Gambusia affinis (western mosquitofish), 115 nucleotides long. Lineage: Eukaryota; Metazoa; Chordata; Actinopteri; Cyprinodontiformes; Poeciliidae. The record is from Ensembl.